RNAcentral lists this transfer RNA (87 nucleotides) under Thiomicrospira sp. Its description in RNAcentral is "tRNA-Leu". It matches the Rfam family "tRNA". Rfam says of the family: Transfer RNA (tRNA) molecules are approximately 80 nucleotides in length. Their secondary structure includes four short double-helical elements and three loops (D, anti-codon, and T loops). The record is from RNAcentral. RNAcentral also lists the same sequence under 31 other names. Lineage: Bacteria; Pseudomonadati; Pseudomonadota; Gammaproteobacteria; Thiotrichales; Piscirickettsiaceae.
GCCCAGGUGGCGAAAUUGGUAGACGCAAGGGACUUAAAAUCCCUCGGUGGCAACACCGUGCCGGUUCGAUUCCGGCCCUGGGCACCA